Molecule: transfer RNA, 79 nt
Filed under: Mycobacteroides abscessus subsp. bolletii
Lineage: Bacteria; Bacillati; Actinomycetota; Actinomycetes; Mycobacteriales; Mycobacteriaceae
Also listed under: 3 other names
Description: tRNA-Lys(ctt)
Rfam family: tRNA
About the family: Transfer RNA (tRNA) molecules are approximately 80 nucleotides in length. Their secondary structure includes four short double-helical elements and three loops (D, anti-codon, and T loops).
Source: RNAcentral
GCGCCGUUAGCUCAGUCUGGUUUUAGAGCUGCGCACUCUUAAUGCGUAGGGCGGGGGUUCAAAUCCCUCACGGCGUACC